AUGCUCUGCGGAUUUACCCCAACCCCAAAUUCUUGUUCCUCUUUUCCUUCAAAUUUUACUCUCUCCUCUCUUAAUUUUCUUGAUACCCAGAAACCAUACAACGGCUUCUGUGUUGGUACAGUAGUCGUCCGUUCUUCUGCAAAUGCUGUCCAAUAUCAGGUCAAGUCUAGGCCCUACUGUUUCUCUAGUGCCCAUUUUUUAUCCCUCUGGCCACGCAGACCAGUACCACUUUGCCCUCUCCAUUCUUUAGUUUCGUUUGCAUGCUGAUGAUUUCUGGUAACAGUGGCACAUUCUUUUACAAUUAUAUUAAUAUUGUAAAAAUAUUGGUAAAUUAAAUCCAGUGACGUUUUGGCGUCAAAUUACUUUCUCUCAUUUGCAUUUCCAUCCAUACAAAUUAGAGUUAUCUAUAACAUUAACAUAUGAAUUUUAUUUACUGAAGAGCAGGUCACGUCAUGUGGGUUCCGUACUUGAAUAAUUAGCUGGAGAAAAAGCAAGGGUCGACCAUGGUGAAGAUAACAU
Molecule: long non-coding RNA, 519 nt
Filed under: Theobroma cacao (cacao)
Lineage: Eukaryota; Viridiplantae; Streptophyta; Magnoliopsida; Malvales; Malvaceae
Description: long non-coding RNA (TCAC_LNC000662)
Source: RNAcentral